CAGCCGCCACGGUAAUACGUAGGGUGCAAGCGUUAAUCGGAAUUACUGGGCGUAAAGCGUGCGCAGGCGGUUCGCUAAGACAGAUGUGAAAUCCCCGGGCUUAACCUGGGAACUCCAUUUGUGACUGGCGGGCUAGAGUAUGGCAGAGGGGGGUAGAAUUCCACGUGUAGCAGUGAAAUGCGUAGAGAUGUGGAGGAAUACCGAUGGCGGAGGCAGCCCCCUGGGCCAAUACUGACGCUCAUGCACGAAAGCGUGGGGAGCAAACAGGAUUAGAUACCCCCGUAGUCCCUGUCUCUUAUAC
This 301-nucleotide ribosomal RNA is filed under the name uncultured bacterium. RNAcentral's name for it is "partial 16S ribosomal RNA". It matches the Rfam family "Bacterial small subunit ribosomal RNA", at positions 509 to 807 of the family's 1533-position model. The record is from RNAcentral.